CAAUCCAUGAGUACAGUGGGCGUACGGGUGAGUAACACGUGGGUAAUCUACCUUUUAGUGAGGAAUAACCCUGGGAAACCGGGGCUAAUACCGCAUAAGCCUGAGAAGGGAAAGCAGCAAUGCGCUGAAAGAGGAGCCCGCGGCCGAUUAGCUAGUUGGUGAGGUAAGAGCCCACCAAAGCAGAGAUCGGUAGCCGGCCUGAGAGGGCACACGGCCACACUGGCACUGAAACACGGGCCAGACUCCUACGGGAGGCAGCAGUGGGGAAUCUUGCACAAUGGGGGAAACCCUGAUGCAGCGACGCCGCGUGAGCGAUGAAGCCCUUCGGGGUGUAAAGCUCUUUCGUCAGGGAAGAUCGUGACGGUACCUGGAGAAGCAGCUGCGGCUAACUACGUGCCAGCAGCCGCGGUAAUACGUAGGCAGCAAGCGUUGUUCGGAGUUACUGGGCGUAAAGGGUGUGUAGGCGGUUCUUUAAGUUUGGUGUGAAAUCUCCCGGCUCAACUGGGAGGGAGCGCCGAAUACUGAGGGACUAGAGUACGGGAGAGGAAAGUGGAAUUCCUGGUGUAGCGGUGAAAUGCGUAGAUAUCAGGAGGAACACCGGUGGUGUAGACGGCUUUCUGGACCGACACUGACGCUGAGACACGAAAGCGUGGGUAGCAAACAGGAUUAGAUACCCUGGUAGUCCACGCCCUAAACGAUGCAUAUUUGGUGUGGGCAGUUCAUUCUGUCCGUGCCGGAGCUAACGCGUAAAUAUGCCGCCUGGGGAGUACAGUCGCAAGGCUGAAACUCAAAGGGAUUGACGGGGGCCC
RNAcentral lists this ribosomal RNA (809 nucleotides) under uncultured bacterium. RNAcentral's name for it is "bacterial SSU rRNA". It matches the Rfam family "Bacterial small subunit ribosomal RNA", at positions 79 to 922 of the family's 1533-position model. The record is from RNAcentral.